RNAcentral lists this ribosomal RNA (253 nucleotides) under uncultured bacterium. Its description in RNAcentral is "partial 16S ribosomal RNA". It matches the Rfam family "Bacterial small subunit ribosomal RNA", at positions 524 to 776 of the family's 1533-position model. The record is from RNAcentral.
GACGGAGAGUGCAAACGUUGUUCGGAUUUACUGGGCGUAGAGGGCACGUAGGCGGCCCGGCAACUCAGUUGUGGAAUCCCGACGCUCACCGUCGGAACGGCAAUUGAAAAUACCGGGCUCGAGGGCAUGAGGGGUCGCAGGAACUCCUGGUGGAGCGGUGAAAUGCGUAGAUAUCAGGAGGAACGCCGGAGGCGAAAGCGUGCGACUGGCGUGUCCCUGACGCUGAGGUGCGAAAGCUAGGGGAGCAAACAGG